GACGAACGCUGGCGGCGUGCUUAACACAUGCAAGUCGAACGGUGAAGGGGUCUGCUUUUGUGGGCCCUGGAUGAGUGGCGAACGGGUGAGUAACGCGUGAGUAACCUGCCCCCUUCUUCUGGAUAACCGCAUGAAAGUGUGGCUAAUACGGGAUAUUCUGGGUCUGUCGCAUGAUGGGUCUGGGAAAGAUUGCGCCUUUGGGUGUUUUUGGUGGGGGAUGGGCUCGCGGCCUAUCAGCUUGUUGGUGGGGUGAUGGCCUACCAAGGCGGUGACGGGUAGCCGUCCUGAGAGGGUGGACGGUCACACUGGGACUGAGACACGGCCCAGACUCCUACGGGAGGCAGCAGUGGGGAAGAUUGCACAAUGGGCGCAAGCCUGAUGCAGCGACGCCGCGUGAGGGAUGGAGGCCUUCGGGUUGUAAACCUCUUUCGCCAGUGAAGCAGGCCUGCUCCUUGUGGGUGGGUUGACGGUAGCUGGAUAAGAAGCGCCGGCUAACUACGUG
This 502-nucleotide ribosomal RNA is filed under the name uncultured bacterium. Its description in RNAcentral is "partial 16S ribosomal RNA". It matches the Rfam family "Bacterial small subunit ribosomal RNA", at positions 28 to 507 of the family's 1533-position model. The record is from RNAcentral.